This 560-nucleotide ribosomal RNA is filed under the name Betaeopsis aequimanus. Its description in RNAcentral is "partial small subunit ribosomal RNA". The record is from RNAcentral. Lineage: Eukaryota; Metazoa; Arthropoda; Malacostraca; Decapoda; Alpheidae.
GGGUAAGUGAAAGUAAUUAGGUUAAGCAUUUAAGGGAUAUUUAUCUGAAGAACUCAUUAAGUAAUAUGGAAUUUAGGGGGUGAAAUUUAUAUUUUUUUGAUAUUACUUAUGAUCUUAGAUGUGAUCUGGUAAUGUAAAAGUGAAGUCAGAAAAGGAGAUUAGAUACCUCGUUAUUCUUCAAAAUAAUUUUAAUACUUGAGUAGUAAACAGUUAUAAGCUCGAAACUCAAAGAAUUUGGCGGUAUUUAAGUCACGUUAGAGGAACUUGCACUGUAAACGAUACACCACGAAUAUCUGUCUUUAUUUAGUAAUAUCAGCUUGUAUACCUCCAUUAACAGAUAGCUUUAAUAAAAUACUUUCUAAAUAAAUACAUUAUUUAAUAUAUUAGGUCAAGGUGCAGCUCAUGAUAAAGUAGAUGUGAGUUACAAUACAUUAUAUAGUAAACGGAUAGAGUCGGUGAAAGUCCGCUCAUUGAAGGAGGAUUUAAUUGUAAAUUGGGUAAAUCGAGCCUUUUUGAUAAAAGCUCUUAAAUAUGUACACAUCGCCCGUCGUUCUCGCUUU